GGGCAACUGACUCCGAGGGGUGAGCAAAUCCCUCAGAGAAAUGCUCCUGACACAGUUAUCUUGGAAACAACAGAAAUUUAUUUCUCAGUUCUGGAGGCUGGAAGUCCAACAUCAAGAUGCUGACAGAGUGCCUGGUGUUUAAUGUGGGUCGGUUUCCUGGUUCAUAAAUAGUGCCUUCUGGCUGAGUCCUCAUGUGGUAGAAGGGGCAAACAAGCUCCCUGAGGCCUGUUUUAUAAGGUCACUAAUCCCAUUCAUGGAGAUGCUGCCCUCAUGACCUAAUCACCUCGGAAAGCUCCCCUCUCCUAAUGCCAUCACCCUGGGAGUUAAGAUUUCAACAUAGGAAUUUGCAGGGAACACAAACAUAGACCAUAGCAAACCAUUCUCAAAGGAAGGGGUGAUCUGGGAAAUGGGUACAUAAAACUCUGUACAAAACUCCACAGCCUGGGCUAAAUUGCAAAUAAUAACAGAAGCUAAUACUUUUAUAGUACUUACUGUUUGCUAAACAUUGUUCCAGUUGCUUUACACAUAUUAGCUGAUUAGCACUCUAAAUAACACUAUGAGGUAAGUACUAUUACGAAUUAAGUACAUUUUCAGAUGAGGAAAUUGAAGCCCGAUCUGCUAAAAGGAUGUGUUCAACACUUUGUAAGAGGCAGAGCUGCCGUCUGAACUCAGUGUGAUGGUUAAUAUUGAGUGUCAACUUGAUUGGUUCGAAGGAUGCAAAGUAUUGCUGCUGGGUGUGUCUGUGAGGGUGUUGCCAAAGGAGAUUAACAUUUGAGUCAGUGGAUUGGGAGAAGCAAACCCACCCUCAGUCUGGGUAGGCACCAUCUAAUCAGCUGCCAGCGUGGCUAGGAUAAAGCAGGCAGAGGAACGUGGAAGGACUAGACUUGCUGAGUCUUCCGGACUUCAUCUUUCUCCCAUGCUCUCAGGAUGCUUCCUGCCCUCGAACAUCGGACUGCAAGUUCUUCAGCUUUUGGACUCCUAGAUGUAUACCAAUGGUUUGCCAGGGACUUUCGGGCCUUUGGCCACAGACUGAAGGCUGCACUGUUGGCUUCUCUAAUUUUGAGGUUUUGAGACUCGGACUGAUCCACCACUGGCUUUCUUGCUCCUCAACUUGUAGACGGCCUGUUGUUGUGAUUGUGUGUCACUUCUUAAUAAAUUCCCCUUCUUAUAUACAUACAUCCUAUUAGUUCUGUCCCUCUAGAGAACCCUAAUACAACCAGUGUACCUGCCUACAAAGGAACAAUGUUGCUCUGCACACUCUCAGACUCCCACUUU
RNAcentral lists this long non-coding RNA (1275 nucleotides) under Homo sapiens (human). Its description in RNAcentral is "HSALNT0332564". The record is from RNAcentral. Lineage: Eukaryota; Metazoa; Chordata; Mammalia; Primates; Hominidae.